UGAGAUCACCUGAGUAUGUGAUGGG
Molecule: unclassified non-coding RNA, 25 nt
Filed under: Mus musculus (house mouse)
Lineage: Eukaryota; Metazoa; Chordata; Mammalia; Rodentia; Muridae
Description: oocyte_clustered_small_RNA3761
Source: RNAcentral